This 498-nucleotide ribosomal RNA is filed under the name uncultured bacterium. RNAcentral's name for it is "partial 16S ribosomal RNA". It matches the Rfam family "Bacterial small subunit ribosomal RNA", at positions 29 to 507 of the family's 1533-position model. The record is from RNAcentral.
AGCGAACGCUGGCGGCGUGCCUAACACAUGCCAGUCGAACGUGAAAAGGGAAACCUGAGUAAAGUGGCGUACGGGUGAGUAACGCGUAGGUAAUCUACCCCAGAAUCUGGAAUAACCUGCCGAAAGGCGGGCUAAUACUGGAUAGAGCGAGGGAACUCGUAAGAGAGUUUUUCGGGAAAGGGAGCCCGCAAGGGCCUUCGUUCUGGGAUGAGCCUGCGUCUCAUUAGCUAGUUGGUAAGGUAACGGCUUACCAAGGCGAUGAUGAGUAGCUGGUCUGAGAGGAUGAUCAGCCACACUGGAACGGAAACACGGUCCAGACUCCUACGGGAGGCAGCAGUGGGGAAUCUUGCGCAAUGGACGAAAGUCUGACGCAGCCACGCCGCGUGAGUGAAGAAGGCCUUCGGGUUGUAAAGCUCUGUCGGAUGGGACGAACAUCUUCAUAGUGAAUAGCUAUGAGGACUGACGGUACCAUCAAAGGAAGCACCGGCUAACUCCGUG